This 962-nucleotide long non-coding RNA is filed under the name Helianthus annuus (common sunflower). RNAcentral describes it as "hypothetical non coding rna". The record is from RNAcentral. Lineage: Eukaryota; Viridiplantae; Streptophyta; Magnoliopsida; Asterales; Asteraceae.
GCCCCUAUCUUCUCUCCACAGCCCCCAUCGCCUCCACCACAGCGGCCUCCUCUCCACGCCGCCCUCCUCCUCCUCCACGGCCGCCUCCUCCUCCACCGUCGCCUUCCUCCUUCGAUUAAGGUACUUGUGUAACAAAAAAUGGUUAUAAUUUUGAUUUUGGCUCUAUCAGCCUUCGAUUAAGGUACUGUUGUUUGUUUAUAAUUCACUGAUCAUGAUUAUAUUCUUAGGGUUUAUAUGAUUCAGCAAAUUCUUUUAAUUGUCAAAUAAUUCAUCUUCUCCAUCACGAUACCAUUCUUCAACUCCAUCACUGUAACACUCUCCCACCGGAAAAAAAAACACUCAAAAUAGUUAUUAACUCACCAUACACAAACACAAACACAAACCCUAAUUGCUUUAUGCCGCUGUUCAUGUUCACCUUUUAGAAGCUCUUCACUUCAUAUCAAGAUGAGCAAGCAUUCCUUUCGGUCUGGUUUGAUUUCCAUUUUCCGAUACAGCCUUUUUAAUUCCAUUUUCUGAUUCAGCCUUUUCCCUUUUACUCGUUUUAAUACUUCUACAAUUUUUUAAUUCAUAGUUUGUCUGUAAAAUCGCAGGAGUCGACGAUCGUUGUAGCUGAAUGCCAGAUGGUUUUACUUGUUUCGUGUAAACACUCUUUGAUCGUGAUUUCUCUGUUUAAAGAAAGAAAUCUGUAUACCCUGGAGUCGUGUGUGUUACCGAGGUGAUGUUCCUCCAUAGCUGUUUACAUUACGCUCCAACCUCAUGAAGCCCUGUUCUCCCCAGCCCGUUCCCCAACUAUUCUUGAUUAUCCAGUAAUCCACAUCAUCUUCUCUACCAUAACCGACUAUGGUUAUGGUAUGAUUGAUGGAAUCAAUGUCUUCACAUGGAGCUUGGAAUCUGUAAAUACCCUGUACAUUCAGUGAAACAAUGUUAGCCAAAUGAAUACCUUAUUAUUUUCUAUUGAUUAA